UUUUUCUUUUUCAGUUUCUGCCACAACAGAGGGUUCAGUUUCUAUCACAACGGAAGAAGGUUCAGGUGUUACCUCAAGAUUUUUUUUAUUUUUUUUCUGGGGCUGGUUCUAUUACCUUUCCAGAUCUCAAGGAAAUUGCACUCACAUUAGCAUUAGGGCCUUUUGGAUUCAUAAUUUUUUGGGUAGGAAGUUGGUUUGAUCCAUGGGUUUGCUGCAUGGCAUUCAUUGAAGUGGCAAGCUGUCCAAUCUGUGUCUGCAAAGUCUGAAUACUGGAAUCUGUUCGUUGCUGAAAUUGGAGAUUGUUCACAGCCAUUUGCUUGACAAGAUCCUCUAAUGAAGGUCUGGGAGGUGCAGAGGUGGAGACUUGGGGAGUGGUCU
This 378-nucleotide long non-coding RNA is filed under the name Lathyrus oleraceus (garden pea). RNAcentral describes it as "Pisum sativum (pea) long non-coding RNA (PSAT_LNC009530)". The record is from RNAcentral. Lineage: Eukaryota; Viridiplantae; Streptophyta; Magnoliopsida; Fabales; Fabaceae.